UUCUCUUUCCCAUUAAUUUUCACCUUUAAUCUGACCAUUAACAUCUUCAUCCCACUCGCCGUACCAUUAAUUCGAGCUCAGCCUCUUCACAGGAACCGUCAACAGAAAAAAGGAGUACGGGGAUCCAAAGGGAAGGAAAUCUAAACCUGGCCAGCUCUUAUAGAAAGAGGAUGUAGCUCGCCUCCAACCUAUGAAGAUUUGGACAAUUCUGAGGCUGAGGACAGUUUCAAGGCAAUUUUUGUUUACCUAUCAUCUUGGUAAGAGACCGAUAUCAAGAUCUUA
Long non-coding RNA from Brassica oleracea var. oleracea, 282 nucleotides. RefSeq lists it as uncharacterized. The record is from RefSeq and is a predicted model, not a curated record. The transcript is spliced from 3 exons. Lineage: Eukaryota; Viridiplantae; Streptophyta; Magnoliopsida; Brassicales; Brassicaceae.